UCCUUGGUAGCUCAGAUGGUAAAGAAUCUGCCUGCAGUGCAGGAAACCAGGGUUCAAUCCCUGCUUUGGGA
This 71-nucleotide transfer RNA is filed under the name Bos taurus (domestic cattle). It matches the Rfam family "tRNA". From Rfam's summary of the family: Transfer RNA (tRNA) molecules are approximately 80 nucleotides in length. Their secondary structure includes four short double-helical elements and three loops (D, anti-codon, and T loops). The record is from Rfam by way of RNAcentral. RNAcentral also lists the same sequence under 5 other names. Lineage: Eukaryota; Metazoa; Chordata; Mammalia; Artiodactyla; Bovidae.